UCUUGGUUCCAGCAUCGAUGAAGAACGCAGCGAAAUGCGAUAAGUAAUGUGAAUUGCAGAAUUCAGUGAAUCAUCGAAUCUUUGAACGCACAUUGCGCCCCUCGGUAUUCCGGGUGGCAUGCCUGUUCGAGCGUCAUUACA
Molecule: ribosomal RNA, 141 nt
Filed under: Hypogymnia flavida
Lineage: Eukaryota; Fungi; Ascomycota; Lecanoromycetes; Lecanorales; Parmeliaceae
Description: 5.8S ribosomal RNA
Rfam family: 5.8S ribosomal RNA
About the family: 5.8S ribosomal RNA (5.8S rRNA) is a component of the large subunit of the eukaryotic ribosome. It is transcribed by RNA polymerase I as part of the 45S precursor that also contains 18S and 28S rRNA.
Source: RNAcentral